This 850-nucleotide ribosomal RNA is filed under the name uncultured bacterium. Its description in RNAcentral is "bacterial SSU rRNA". It matches the Rfam family "Bacterial small subunit ribosomal RNA", at positions 15 to 857 of the family's 1533-position model. The record is from RNAcentral.
GAUCCUGGCUCAGGAUGAACGCUAGCGGCAGGCCUAACACAUGCAAGUCGAGGGGCAGCACGGGUAGCAAUACUUGGUGGCGACCGGCGCACGGGUGAGUAACGCGUAUGCAACCUACCUUUUACCGGGGGAUAGCUCAGUGAAAACUGGAUUAAUACCCCAUAACACAGGGAUACCGCAUGGUAAUAUUUGUUAAAGCUCCGGCGGUAAAAGAUGGGCAUGCGUGACAUUAGCUAGUUGGUAGGGUAACGGCCUACCAAGGCGACGAUGUCUAAGGGGUCUGAGAGGAUGAUCCCUCACACUGGUACUGAGACACGGACCAGACUCCUACGGGAGGCAGCAGUGAGGAAUAUUGGUCAAUGGGGGCAACCCUGAACCAGCCAUGCCGCGUGAAGGAAGACGGUUCUAAGAAUUGUAAACUUCUUUUGUACGGGGGUAAAGCAGAUACGUGUAUUUGUUUGAAAGUACUUGUACGGAAUAAGCAUCGGGCUAAACUCCGUGCCAAGCAGCCGCGGUAAUACGGAGGAUGCGAGCGUUAUCCGGAUUUAUUGGGUUUAAAGGGUGCGUAGGCGGACUUAUAAGUCAGCGGUGAAAGACUGUCGCUCAACGAUAGCAUUGCCAUUGAUACUGUAGGCCUUGAGUACAUUUGAGGUGGGCGGAAUGUGUAGUGUAGCGGUGAAAUGCUUAGAUAUUACACAGAACACCAAUUGCGAAGGCAGCUCACUAAACUGUAACUGACGCUGAGGCACGAAAGCGUGGGGAUCAAACCAGGAUUAGAUACCCUGGUAGUCCACGCCGUAAACUAUGAUCACUGGAUGUUUGCGAUACACAGCAGGCGUCUGAGUAAAAG